AGUGAACGCUGGCGGUAGGACUAACACAUGCAAGUCGAACGGCAGCACAGUAAGCGCUUGCUCUUACGGGUGGCGAGUGGCGGACGGGUGAGGAAUACAGCGGAAUCUACUUUUUCGUGGGGGAUAACGUAGGACAACUUACGCUACUACCUCAUACCACUUACGGGUGAAAGCAGGUGAUCUUCGUACCUUGCGCGCUUUAAUGAGCCGAUGUCGGAUUAGUUAGUUGGUGGGUUAAAGGCCAACCAAGGCGACGAUCAGUACCUGGUCUGCCAGGAUGAUCAGCACAACUGGAACGGAGACACGGUCAAGACUCCUACGGGAGGCAGAAGUGGGGAAUAUUGGACAAUGAGCGAAAGCCUGAUCAAGACAGACCGCGUGGGUAAAGAAGGCCUUCGGGUGGAAAAGCCCUUUUGUAGGGAAAGAAAAGCAGCAGGUUAAAACGCCGAUGUUCUGACGGUACCCAAAGAAUAAGCACCGGCUAACUUCGUG
This 492-nucleotide ribosomal RNA is filed under the name uncultured bacterium. RNAcentral's name for it is "partial 16S ribosomal RNA". It matches the Rfam family "Bacterial small subunit ribosomal RNA", at positions 29 to 507 of the family's 1533-position model. The record is from RNAcentral.